GUGGGGAAUAUUGGACAAUGGGGGGAACCCUGAUCCAGCCAUGCCGCGUGUGUGAAGAAGGCCUUUUGGUUGUAAAGCACUUUAAGCGAGGAGGAAGCUACCGAGAUUAAUACUCUUGGAUAGUGGACGUUACUCGCAGAAUAAGCACCGGCUAACUCUGUGCCAGCAGCCGCGGUAAUACAGAGGGUGCAAGCGUUAAUCGGAUUUACUGGGCGUAAAGCGCGCGUAGGUGGCCAAUUAAGUCAAAUGUGAAAUCCCCGAGCUUAACUUGGGAAUUGCAUUCGAUACUGGUUGGCUAGAGUAUGGGAGAGGAUGGUAGAAUUCCAGGUGUAGCGGUGAAAUGCGUAGAGAUCUGGAGGAAUACCGAUGGCGAAGGCAGCCAUCUGGCCUAAUACUGACACUGAGGUGCGAAAGCAUGGGGAGCAAACAGGAUUAGAAACCCCGGUAGUCC
Molecule: ribosomal RNA, 451 nt
Filed under: uncultured bacterium
Lineage: Bacteria
Description: partial 16S ribosomal RNA
Rfam family: Bacterial small subunit ribosomal RNA
Source: RNAcentral